This is an RNA transcript of Sapajus apella (tufted capuchin), 2387 nucleotides long. It is a transcript of the gene named cysteine rich DPF motif domain containing 1, with no coding region annotated. The transcript has 2 exons. Lineage: Eukaryota; Metazoa; Chordata; Mammalia; Primates; Cebidae. The record is from RefSeq and is a predicted model, not a curated record.
UGGCAUCCCAUGCAGAGUGCAGUCCUCUGGGAGUGUUUGAGUGUGAACUCUGUGCCUUGACAGCUCCCUAUAGCUACAUUGGGCAGAAGCCCCCCAACACCCAGUCGAUGGUGUGAGUACGUGCCCUUUGGGCCAGUGCUAGGGAAGCCUGUGCCCAGUGCUGGUUGGUGGGUGCUGGGCCUAGGUCUGACACCAGCUUGGGUGUGGCUCUUUAGGUCCCACCCUGCCCAGGCUCUGGAUACUUCCACUGUAAUCUCUGGAGGCCUGGGCAAAGCUUGGGGUGUGUCUGACUCUUCUAGAACCUUCCUCCACACCUAACCCAGAGUCCAACACCUGCUGUAGCUGUGGGGAAGCAGCUCAGCAGCCGUGAGGAGCUGUGGUGGCCUCCCCAUUUGGGGCUGUGCCCUUGCCAUGGCACUUUCUUAGUGGGAGGCCCGUCGUCCUUGCAGACGUGGACUAGAGCCAGUGGGUCCAGGGGCUUAUCUCUUGACCUCCAGCUUGUCCUUCAUCAAAUGCCACUUUGUUGGAAAGCUGGCUGGUGUGUUACUCACACAAAUGGGAUGCAGUGGUGGGGCAUGGCUUUUUCCUCCUGGCUGUUGUCCCUCUGCUGACUGGGAGCCUGACUGUCAUCAUGCCACCCUGUGGUGUCAUUCUGAUGUGUGGCAGGAUGCCACCUGGCCUCCAGGGACUGUGAGGGUGUGUUCUCCCUCGUGGAAGCAAGUGGCUUGGGGUGUAGGGGAGGCCUGGCGUGCUUAGAUGGUGGCCUUGUGCCCCACCCUGGGGAAUCAGUCAGGGCCUGGGGGCUCAUGUUGGAGCAGCCCUUCUUUUGGCUGAGAACAAGGGUUUCUCUCUACCACAGCUGUUAGAAAGGUGAAAGUGAAAACAGGUCCAAUUUCAAUGCCAGUGUGGUCCCCAAUUGCUGAUCCUGUCACUGUCCUGCAGCGCCCCUGCCCCCCUGAGCCCGCGCAGGUGUGCAGGCCCUGCGGAGGUCCAGGCUGCUGCUGCACGGCCAUUGCUCAUGGCUGAUUUUCCGACAACAGAGAUUUGGGCGGUUCUACAGCUGGCAUCUCUCUCCUGCAGCCUCCUGGAGGAAAGCUAUGUCAUGAAGGACCCCUUCACCUCUGACAAGGGCAGAUUCCUGGUCCUCGGCUCGCAUUGCAGUUUGUGCAGCAGGCUGGUGUGUGUGGGCCCGGUGGGAGUGCAGUUUAUUCUACUCCAAGAGAUUCUGCCUCCCUUGUGUCCAGGAGAACAUCAGUGCUUUUCCUCAGGAAAUUCAGCAAGACUUGGAGAAAAGGAAAGCUCUGUCAAAGAGGCCCCCUAGCCAGCCUGGUUCUCGGACGUGAGUGCAGCUGGGGCCGCACUCACCCUGCACAGGGCUCCUGGGCCAGCCUGCGCCAGGGAUGCUGCUGAGCUGGGAGCCGCCGUGCCUGGCCUUGUUCUGGACCAUUGGGAGCAGCACUGUAGCCCAGAGGAGCUGGAGCCCAGCUUGGAGCAGCCACAGGCCCAGGGAUUUGUGCCGACAAGGUAGCCCAAAGGCAGGUGCCAGCCCAGACACAGCCAGGAAUCCCUGCACACCCCUCAGCGCCGAGGCCUGAGUGAGUGCUGCUCAGAUGCGACUGAGAGGGAUGACCUCCUUCAGUGGGGCAGCUCCUAAGAGGCUACCUGCAGGUGCAUGUGCAGGAAGAUGCCACGCCGUGUUGGGGCCGGGGCACACCGUAGGUGACUGUAGUGGUCUUUCUGUAAAGAAAAUCACUGACAGCAGCUGCCUCUGGAGCCAGCCUGGGAGGUCUAGAGGGUGACAAAAUUUUUCCUUCAUAUCCUUAUGUGAUGCUUGGAAAAUGUUUUUAAUCUUAACCAUGUAUUAUGUUUAUAAUUAAAACCCAGCUAAUGUUUGAAAAAGGAAUCUUCCACUAAAACGUCUGGAUACCCGACAUUCUCCCUGGGUACUCUGGGCCUGGCAAUGGCCGGGGUCUCCUGGGAAGGUGAGUGCUGGCUUCCAGCCUCUCCAGUUCCCUCAGGCUCUGGCUUCAGCUCGGGCCCCUGCAUUCUGUCUCCCACAAUCCCAAGUCAGGAAUGCUGUGGACUUCCUGUCCUCACCUCGCACCUCAAGACCAUCACGCUGCCUGCCUGCUUGCCUCCUGCCAUCUCGAACACAGUCCUGGGUGCCUGCAAAGCCCGGCCCCACUGCCUGCUGGGAGUGCCUGCAGCACCCCCUCCUCCAGACUCCCCAUCUCCCCGGGGCUUCUAGGGUAGCAGUUGGCGGGGCACUGGUCUGUGCUCUCUGGAAUGUCUGCUUAGAGUUCUGAGAGGCAGGAGCUGCUCUGUCGUUAAAACUACUCCAGGCCAACUGUCACGUGAUGAAGGGAUGAAUAAAGAGUUUUUGCUGA